AAGUCGUAACAAGGUUUCCGUAGGUGAACCUGCGGAAGGAUCAUUAUCUAGAGUUGUAGGCUUUGCCUGCUAUCUCUUACCCAUGUCUUUUAAGUACCUUCGUUUCCUCGGCGGGUUCGCCCGCCGAUUGGACAAUUUAAACCCUUUGCAGUUGCAAUCAGCGUCUGAAAAAACAUAAUAGUUACAACUUUCAACAACGGAUCUCUUGGUUCUG
Molecule: unclassified non-coding RNA, 214 nt
Filed under: air metagenome
Description: partial contains small subunit ribosomal RNA, internal transcribed spacer 1, and 5.8S ribosomal RNA
Rfam family: Eukaryotic small subunit ribosomal RNA (bases 1-46)
Source: RNAcentral